GAUGAACGCUGGCGGCGUGCCUAAUACAUGCAAGUCGAGCGAACGGACGAGAAGCUUGCUUCUCUGAUGUUAGCGGCGGACGGGUGAGUAACACGUGGAUAACCUACCUAUAAGACUGGGAUAACUUCGGGAAACCGGAGCUAAUACCGGAUAAUAUUUUGAACCGCAUGGUUCAAAAGUGAAAGACGGUCUUGCUGUCACUUAUAGAUGGAUCCGCGCUGCAUUAGCUAGUUGGUAAGGUAACGGCUUACCAAGGCAACGAUGCAUAGCCGACCUGAGAGGGUGAUCGGCCACACUGGAACUGAGACACGGUCCAGACUCCUACGGGAGGCAGCAGUAGGGAAUCUUCCGAAAUGGGCGAAAGCCUGACGGAGCAACGCCGCGUGAGUGAUGAAGGGCUUCGGAUCGUAAAACUCUGUUAUUAGGGAAGAACAUAUGUGUAAGUAACUGUGCACAUCUUGACGGUACCUAAUCAGAAAGCCACGGCUAACUACGUG
This 497-nucleotide ribosomal RNA is filed under the name uncultured bacterium. RNAcentral describes it as "partial 16S ribosomal RNA". It matches the Rfam family "Bacterial small subunit ribosomal RNA", at positions 28 to 507 of the family's 1533-position model. The record is from RNAcentral.